GAUGAACGCUGGCGGCGUGCCUAAUACAUGCAAGUCGAACGAACAGAUAAGGAGCUUGCUCCUUUGACGUUAGCGGCGGACGGGUGAGUAACACGUGGAUAACCUACCUAUAAGACUGGGAUAACUUCGGGAAACCGGAGCUAAUACCGGAUAACAUAUUGAACCGCAUGGUUCAAUAGUGAAAGGCGGCUUUGCUGUCACUUAUAGAUGGAUCCGCGCCGUAUUAGCUAGUUGGUAAGGUAACGGCUUACCAAGGCAACGAUACGUAGCCGACCUGAGAGGGUGAUCGGCCACACUGGAACUGAGACACGGUCCAGACUCCUACGGGAGGCGGCAGUAGGGAAUCUUCCGCAAUGGGCGAAAGCCUGACGGAGCAACGCCGCGUGAGUGAUGAAGGUCUUCGGAUCGUAAAACUCUGUUAUCAGGGAAGAACAAAUGUGUAAGUAACUGUGCACAUCUUGACGGUACCUGAUCAGAAAGCCACGGCUAACUACGUG
This 497-nucleotide ribosomal RNA is filed under the name uncultured bacterium. RNAcentral's name for it is "partial 16S ribosomal RNA". It matches the Rfam family "Bacterial small subunit ribosomal RNA", at positions 28 to 507 of the family's 1533-position model. The record is from RNAcentral.